RNAcentral lists this long non-coding RNA (571 nucleotides) under Marmota monax (woodchuck). The record is from RNAcentral. Lineage: Eukaryota; Metazoa; Chordata; Mammalia; Rodentia; Sciuridae.
UUUAAUGCUCAAAGUAUCUAAGUGCAUGUUGGGGGACUCAAGGACAGAGAAGAGGUAAAAAAAACUCUCUUCCAAAUUAUACUGUAGCAGGAGGGAGCCAGUUGAAGAUUCAGGUAAGGACAAAGUCACUUUUUGUUGGAAAUGAUGGGAGAUGAGAGGGGUCCCUAGGUAAAUCAAUACAUCAAACCAUGCUUGUAAAAUAUUUAGAAGACAAUACUAUAUACAGACUAUCUGCAUUUUCUGUCCCAUCAGCAUGCUCUCUCCCACCCAGGAAGCAACACAAUCUAUGCCAACUCACAGAAAGCCACGUCACCAAAAGAGCCAGUUUACCUGAUGAUCAGCUUCUGAAUAUCAACUCCACCUACUUCACCAAAUUUGUGAGCCUGGAGUGGCAGACCAACUUUAUCAAGAAUCUUUUUGAUGUCUUUGACAGGAAUGUUUCUUUAUGAAUUUUUCCAAUUUUUUUCUGGAUGCUUUCAAAUUUCAGAUUAACAUUAACUUUACAUUUUCAUAUACUUUACAUUUUAAAUCUACAUUUGAAAUUUGAGUUGUUUAGCUUUUUUAAAAAUUU